Molecule: long non-coding RNA, 1829 nt
Filed under: Sus scrofa (pig)
Lineage: Eukaryota; Metazoa; Chordata; Mammalia; Artiodactyla; Suidae
Description: lncRNA (ENSSSCG00000056219.1)
Source: RNAcentral
AGGAAUCGAACCUGUGCCAUAGCAGUGACCUUAGCCACAGCAGUGAUAACACUGGAUCUUUACCCCACUGUGCCACCAGGGAACUCUCAGGCUAAAGGGCAACUGCUCUACCUUCACUGCUUUUAUAGCUAUAAUGAUGUUUUAGUGUUUAGCAUAUAAUAGGUGUUCAAUAAAUUUGUAUUUGUUUACCUGUGGAGAACAAUCUUUGUAACAUGCAUAUUACUAUUCUGUUCAACAUUUUCAUUAGCAAUUUGAAAGAUGUUGAAGGCAUGCUUAAAUGCACCAAUGGCAGAAAAGACAAAGUAUAUCAAAGACAAAUGUAAGGUUUUUUAAAAUAAACAACUGUUGAAUCAGCAUUUCAUAUAAAAUGAAACCAAGGUUCUAGUUACUUACAUAUUAAUGUGAUCCAAUAAUAGGACAAAGGAUAUCAACAAGUGUUAUCUUCAGAUACAAGAAUCAAAAUGGCACAGCUUUCUAUUUGUACUAGGAAUAAGUCAGCAACUGGGCUAAAUCUGGCCCACUGCUUGUUUUUUGCAAAUAAAGUUUUAUUGGGAUAUAGCUACAUGCAUUUACUUAUGUAUUAGCUAUGAAUGCUUUUGCAAUAUAACAACAGAGUUGAGUAUUUGCAUCUGAGGUCAUAAGGCCUGCAAAGCUGAAAGUAUUUACUACCUGGCCCUUUGCAGAAAAGUUUGUCAACCCCUAUUCUACUCUAAAUCUCACUCUCCCCAUCUUCCUUAGUAAUAGGACCUACAACAGUUAUCUACACAUACUUUUGCUUAAAGACUGCAUUUCUUGGUAUCCUCUGCAUCAGGUGUUUCACAUGACUGUAUUCUGGCCAGUGAGAUCUAUGUAGAAGAAUUUUGUUUCAGCUUUCUCAAAUCUUUGUUAAAAGAUAUCCCCUUCACCUUUAUGCUGGUUGGAAAUUAAACCUGAUAGCUAGAGCUCAAACAGUCAUCUGGGUCCAUGUAUAAAGGCUUAGGUUUGGCAGCCAAGACCUGAAAGGGACCUAAGAUCCUAAGUCCCAGAUGACUUUGUGAAAUCUCCAUAAUAACCCUUCACUGCCAAUUACAAGACAUUUUAAAAAAUAAUUCAUAAAAAAGUAUUGGUAUGUUUGGUCCACUGUUCAUUUGGAUGUUCUGUCACUUAUACAUGAACUUAUCCUAAUAGAUAGCACUGUAUAAUGUCCAGAUCUUAGGACUGAUCCUGCUAGUUCAAACUAUCUGGAGUCUUUCUUGCCUUGCGGAGUUACAGAACUCUCCAUCACUGCAAGGUUUUAAGUCGAUCCUGAAUAACCACCUGUCAGACAAGUGAUGCAGAGUUCCCUGAAUUGGAUGGAGGUUAAAUUAUAUGACCUCCCAAGAUUCUAAGUUGGAUAUUCCUGGACCGUAUUUUUCUUUAUUAAUGGAAAGUGUUAAAUGGGUUCUCAGUUCAAGCACUUAAAAUGAUUAAAGUAACCAGCCAGGAAGCCAAGCUGCCAAAAUGGAAAAUGCAGAGGGAGUAAAAUAUCAGUACAAUUUUAACUUUCUAUUUGCAGCAAAGCAAUGAUUCAGAUGGUACAUUAGGCUCUCAUUGAGGAAAUCACUGAUACUAUAUCAGAUGACAAAACCUCCUGUCCAAUAAGUUGGAACUAUCCAUUUUCAUAGAAAUGCUGGGACAAGGGAAAUAUCAUUACUCCAUAUGGGCGAUUCCUUUAGCAUAAAAUGUACAGACCGUAGUUAAACUGAGCCCAUCACAAACACCAAUAAUCUAUAAAUAACUUUAUGUAUGCUCUAAUAAAACAUGAAAAAGUAGGAAAUUCUUGGACUAGCAGAGGAUAAUAGUCAGGGAUU